GAAGAAGCCCCGGCUAACUUCGUGCCAGCAGCCGCGGUAAUACGAAGGGGGCUAGCGUUGUUCGGAUUUACUGGGCGUAAAGCGCGCGUAGGCGGAUCGUUAAGUCGAGGGUGAAAUCCUGGAGCUCAACUCCAGAACUGCCUCCGAUACUGGCGAUCUAGAGUCCGGAAGAGGUGAGUGGAACUCCUAGUGUAGAGGUGGAAUUCGUAGAUAUUAGGAAGAACACCAGUGGCGAAGGCGGCUCACUGGUCCGGCACUGACGCUGAUGCGCGAAAGCGUGGGGAGCAA
This 288-nucleotide ribosomal RNA is filed under the name uncultured bacterium. RNAcentral's name for it is "partial 16S ribosomal RNA". It matches the Rfam family "Bacterial small subunit ribosomal RNA", at positions 484 to 771 of the family's 1533-position model. The record is from RNAcentral.